CUGAUGCUACAUUCGAUACGAACGGUGGAGAUGAGAAGGUCUUCACCGGUAACCGAGGUCUUCAGUACGAGAGACGGCGAUUGGAGUAACAGCCUCGUCGGUCGAUCGAUUGGAAUCCCUCGAGAUGCACUUAUGAAAAGGAAAGCAAAGAGGAAGAUAAAUACAGACUGCUGGGAAAGCAAUUAGCAAUAGAUGCCUCGUUCGAGCCAGUGAUGGCAGGAAGACCAUCUCUGCUAUGGAACCACAAGCACUUGGUCAGUUGAAUUUGUUUUGCAAGAGAGGGACUGCUGUCAUGCCUGCUGAACAGCAUUCGGCUUCCCUGCUAGGCGAAUUGAUUGGACGUUCUUGUAUGUUUUAUACUCAUUAAACAUUUUAUUUCAUUGGUCUCCAUUGUUUUUUUUUGUUUUUGUUUUUUCUGCUUUUGAACCCAAAAGCUGGGUUCGGAGAGAAUGACAGUGCUUGUGUCUAUUGAAGCUUUUGUGCAAAAUCAAAUUCACUUCGUUGAAUUGCAAAUGUUGAGCUAUAAGCGUGCAAAUUGCAGACCUGUAACAGGUUAGAUGUUGUUUGACUACUACUCAGAAUAUAGCUAAAGCAGCAUGUCAUGACAAAGUAAUUGAUAUUUAGAAUCAUGGUUCUUAGAUUAGUCAUCAUUGAAUUGCUGCGUGAAUAUUUCAUGUGGAAGAAGGAAAAUAACAUGACAAUUCCCUUUAAAUUGAUCUGUCAGCAAACAAACUUGAGAUGCCCUUAUACAUCUUCUCUAGAUGGAACAAAAGAAGAAAAUUAUAUCAAAGAAUCAAUAGUAAAAAUUGGAUGCCUUUUUCUUUACUACUUUUCCUCUGUGUUUUAUACAGGAACAGGAUGCUGCAGUCUGCCGUUC
Molecule: non-coding RNA, 877 nt
Organism: Musa acuminata subsp. malaccensis (wild Malaysian banana)
Lineage: Eukaryota; Viridiplantae; Streptophyta; Magnoliopsida; Zingiberales; Musaceae
Source: RefSeq, a predicted model, not a curated record